AACGAACGCUGGCGGCAGGCCUCAAACAUGCAAGUCUAGGGGGUGCAGCAAUGCAUCACCGGCGGACGGGUGCGUAACGCGUGGGAAUGUACCUUUUGGUUCGGAACAACUGCGGGAAACUGCAGCUAAUACCGAAUGUGCCCUAACGGGGAAGAUUUAUCGCCAAAGGAUUAGCCCGCGUAGGAUUAGCUAGUUGGUGAGGUAAUGGCUCACCAAGGCUCCGUAUCCGUUAGUC
This 235-nucleotide ribosomal RNA is filed under the name uncultured bacterium. RNAcentral's name for it is "partial 16S ribosomal RNA". It matches the Rfam family "Bacterial small subunit ribosomal RNA", at positions 29 to 288 of the family's 1533-position model. The record is from RNAcentral.